Alnus glutinosa is the source of this 481-nucleotide long non-coding RNA. RefSeq lists it as uncharacterized. Lineage: Eukaryota; Viridiplantae; Streptophyta; Magnoliopsida; Fagales; Betulaceae. The transcript has 3 exons. The record is from RefSeq and is a predicted model, not a curated record.
AGUGGUAGGGAGCUUUUUCACGCCACUCGUCCGGAUCCCCUUCACCAGUUCUCAUUUUCUCUUUAGUUUUGUAUAGAAAAACCAUGAUCUAGACAAAUCCAACCGUCAAAACUCAAAUUCAUCUUCGGUAACGUGAUCUAUGAAGCCCGAUCUACAUUUUCACCGAUCGUUUUAAGGUAAUGGGUUACUUGGAACUUGCUUGAGAUUACCCAAACCAUGGGUUUUGGUUUGGUGAAAUUUUGACAUUGAUGUUUUGGUUGCAGGUUAUGUGGAUAUAGAUAUUGACUCGUUCACCUAGCGUAUGGGAUGCUUUGAUUGGAGCACAUCGCGACAGUCAUAAAUCACAGACUCAUGAGUAGUCCGUAUUUUGGGUAUUUUAUUUAUGGCUCGUGUCCUACGUGGUUUACGUAUUUGAUGAGUCUGUAUUUUGAUAUGUAAUUAUAGUAAAAUGUUUUAUAAGCUUUAAUCAGUUAGACAUGUA